Nematostella vectensis (starlet sea anemone) is the source of this 565-nucleotide long non-coding RNA. RefSeq lists it as uncharacterized. The record is from RefSeq and is a predicted model, not a curated record. The transcript is spliced from 3 exons. Lineage: Eukaryota; Metazoa; Cnidaria; Anthozoa; Actiniaria; Edwardsiidae.
GAAUAAAAAUUAAGGCGCACAGAGUUUGAUUGGAAACGCUCAGGAAAAUGCAGCAUGUAGGAUGUUUUGGAAGACAUCGCGUCAAUUGACAGAACGACCUUAAAAACUGACAUCAGCACGGAAACAGAAAAGGUAUUUUGCUUAAAAGGAAAACUUCAUAGGAGUGGAUUAGACAAGUAUUUCCUUAUUGAGUUCCACGAAGUCACAUGACAGUGAUAAGAAACCGAAGAAAAGAAAUCGAAGAAAAAACAAUAUUCAGGCGUAGCUAGGGGGGUUGGCCCAGUCCCUCCCCUUUUUAGAAGCCAAAAAAUACAGUAAUUGUAUGAGACAUUAUGUAAAAUACAGGAAAAACUGCAUCGAAAGGCCCUUUUGGGCCCCCUCCUGUUAAAAAUCCUGUCUACGCCGGUGAUAUUGGCCAAUGAAAUGAACCGAUGGCACUAGAACCUUAAACUAGGCUUAUCUAUUUGUUUUGGUCGCACUUGCCCUAAUAUUUCCAAGUCAAAUGUGCUGUCGAAAGUUAGUGUCUCUUUCUUCUUUUUAAAGAAUAAAGCAGCUCUUAAAAUUG